UUAAGUUUCUAAAAUAUAUUUAUAAAGAUUGUCAAAAUUUCUAACAUAUUUGUACAAGAAAGUAUUUUUUCUCAAAGAAACUCAUAAGUUGGCUAUGGACUAAUUUCAAAACAUUUGUCCUGAAUAAAUACAUUUUUAUCAUCCAGGUAUUUAAGUGUUACUUUUAAUUCUAUUUGAAAUUUGUAAGUAAAUAUUUUUUUUAAUAUAGGUGAGAUUGGAACAAAUAGGAAAAGCCUAUAAAUGUGUAUUAGAAAUAAUAGAUGUUGAAAAUAAAGAUGGAGGAAAAUAUAAAAUUACUGCAAAAAAUGACCUUGGUGAAGCUAAUUCAACAAUCAAUCUUAAUUUGGAUACGGAAGAAGAUGAAGAAGAGGAAGAUGAAGGAAAACCUGCAUUCUUGGGAAAACCAGUUAUAAAGCAGUCUAAUGAUUUCAA
Molecule: long non-coding RNA, 432 nt
Organism: Centruroides sculpturatus (bark scorpion)
Lineage: Eukaryota; Metazoa; Arthropoda; Arachnida; Scorpiones; Buthidae
Exons: 2
Source: RefSeq, a predicted model, not a curated record